GACGAACGCUGGCGGCGUGCUUAACACAUGCAAGUCGAACGGAAAGGCCCUGCUUUUGUGGGGUGCUCGAGUGGCGAACGGGUGAGUAACACGUGAGUAACCUGCCCUUGACUUUGGGAUAACUUCAGGAAACUGGGGCUAAUACCGGAUAGGAGCUCCUGCUGCAUGGUGGGGGUUGGAAAGUUUCGGCGGUUGGGGAUGGACUCGCGGCUUAUCAGCUUGUUGGUGGGGUAGUGGCUUACCAAGGCUUUGACGGGUAGCCGGCCUGAGAGGGUGACCGGCCACAUUGGGACUGAGAUACGGCCCAGACUCCUACGGGAGGCAGCAGUGGGGAAUAUUACACAACGGGCGGAAGCCUGAUGCAGCAACGCCGCGUGCGGGAUGACGGCCUUCGGGUUGUAAACCGCUUUCGCCUGUGACGAAGCGUGAGUGACGGUAAUGGGUAAAGAAGCACCGGCUAACUACGUG
Molecule: ribosomal RNA, 468 nt
Filed under: uncultured bacterium
Lineage: Bacteria
Description: partial 16S ribosomal RNA
Rfam family: Bacterial small subunit ribosomal RNA
Source: RNAcentral